AGUGAACGCUGGCGGUAGGCUUAACACAUGCAAGUCGAACGGCAGCACACUACGUGUUUGCUCUUACGGGGGGCGAAUGGCGGACGGGUCAGGUAUAUAUCGUACUCUACUCUUUCGUGUGAGUUCACGUAGGUAAACUUACUCUAAUAUCGCAUCUCCCCUACCGGUGAAAGCAUUGGAUCUUCUCACCUUUCGCGAUUGAAUUCGCCGCUGUCGGAUUAGCUAGUUGGCGGGGUAAAGGCCCACCCAGGCGGCGAUCCGUAGCUUGUCUGAGUGAAUGAUCAGCGACCCUGGAGCUGAGACACGGUCCAGACUCCUACGGGAGGCAGCAGUGGGGAAUAGUGGACAAUGGGCGCAAGCAUGAUCCAGCCAGACCGCGUGGGUGAAGAAGGCCUUCGGGUUGUAAAGACCUCUUGUUGGGAAAGAAAAGCAGUAGGUUAAGACGAAGCUGUUGUGACGGUAAUCAAAGAAUAAGCACCGGCUAACUACGUG
This 492-nucleotide ribosomal RNA is filed under the name uncultured bacterium. Its description in RNAcentral is "partial 16S ribosomal RNA". It matches the Rfam family "Bacterial small subunit ribosomal RNA", at positions 29 to 507 of the family's 1533-position model. The record is from RNAcentral.